Tachyglossus aculeatus (Australian echidna) is the source of this 539-nucleotide long non-coding RNA. RefSeq lists it as uncharacterized. NCBI's taxonomy places the organism in Eukaryota, Metazoa, Chordata, Mammalia, Monotremata, Tachyglossidae. The transcript has 2 exons. The record is from RefSeq and is a predicted model, not a curated record.
GUCAGAGAAGCAGUGGUCUUGAGAUCUAUCAUAGUAGCUUGAAAGUUCCUGAAAAUUGCGCUUGCUGCUUUCCCAGAGACUGCGUCCUCCAGAUGAGCCUUGCAGUCCCUUGGUUCCUAACGAAGCCCUGUCUGCCGUCCUGAGAAAAUUCAAGGAAGGGCAGUGAGUCACAGUGAAGGCUGGACCGUCAAUCACGAUGCAGGAUAUGAUGCUACAACAUGGUUUUGAUUUUCCAUCUUUUUCACGUUGACCUUUUCGGAAACUUGAUCUAGCUGCCUCACCAUCACUUUCCUAUUCACUGUGGAUUGAGAAAUGGUAACAACCACAAAGUAUACAUCUGUUUCUAAAUGGUGUGACAUAAUUGUACUUGGUGGUCUUUCACCCUGUUGCCAUACUGGGAAAGAUUUCAUAUCCAAAUUAAACUGUUUUAUAUACAGUAGGGAGAAAUCUGCUUUUGCUCACUUUUAAAAUUUCUUGAAGCCCAAAACGUUUCUGUAAAAAAACAGCUUUUUAUCUCGAAAUAAAAAACAGAUAUUCUA